This 510-nucleotide ribosomal RNA is filed under the name uncultured bacterium. RNAcentral's name for it is "partial 16S ribosomal RNA". It matches the Rfam family "Bacterial small subunit ribosomal RNA", at positions 28 to 507 of the family's 1533-position model. The record is from RNAcentral.
GACGAACGCUGGCGGCGUGCUUAACACAUGCAAGUCGAACGAAGAGCGAUGGAAGCUUGCUUCUAUCAAUCUUAGUGGCGAACGGGUGAGUAACGCGUAAUCAACCUGCCCUUCAGAGGGGGACAACAGUUGGAAACGACUGCUAAUACCGCAUACGAUCCGACCUCGGCAUCGAGGAUGGAUGAAAGGUGGCCUCUAUUUAUAAGCUAUCACUGAAGGAGGGGAUUGCGUCUGAUUAGCUAGUUGGAGGGGUAACGGCCCACCAAGGCAAUGAUCAGUAGCCGGUCUGAGAGGAUGGACGGCCACAUUGGGACUGAGACACGGCCCAGACUCCUACGGGAGGCAGCAGUGGGGUAUCUUCCGCAAUGGACGAAAGUCUGACGGAGCAACGCCGAGUGAGUGAUGACGGCCUUCGGGUUGUAAAGAUCGGUUAAUCGUGACGAAAGGUCUUCUUGCGAAUAGUUAGAAGAAUUGACGGUACCGGAAUAGAAAGCCACGGCUAACUACGUG